Long non-coding RNA from Haplochromis burtoni (Burton's mouthbrooder), 1230 nucleotides. RefSeq lists it as uncharacterized. The transcript is spliced from 3 exons. The record is from RefSeq and is a predicted model, not a curated record. Lineage: Eukaryota; Metazoa; Chordata; Actinopteri; Cichliformes; Cichlidae.
UUCUAGAAAUAAAAGAAAACAUUCUUAAUUCUCUGAGUUUUUUCUUUUUAGUUUUUUUAUUUGAGGGUUAGGGCCACUCUGGAUCAUCAGAACUGUAUGGGAAAAUUUGACUGACACCUGCUUUCCUUCAUAGUACAACAGUAGACAACAUGUAAUGUAAAAAUAUCUUGUCAUGGUCCGUGGUCCUGUGUCUAAGGUGUCUGUGUGUGUGUGUGUUGGAUGCCCUGGUGGCCACACCCCUGGGCUGGGCCAUUACCGGCACACCUGCUUCCCAUCCGGGGCGAUUACCUGAAGGACUAUUUAACCCCGCGCUGACGGAUGCUCCACGCCAGUCCAUUAAUCACCUCUCUGUGAUUUCGAUCCGGCGUCCUGCAUCUGCCACCUGCCUGUCCUCCUGCUCGCUUGGAGCACACGGUGCAUCACCUGGCCUCAUCACCGACUCCACAGAUUCCCUUUCCACGGACUUACACACUCCCCUCCCAAGUCCCACGGUCCCCACUCUGAUCCCUCCCCACGGUCCCGAUCUCUGCUUCCCCGCGUCAUUUUACAUCCCCGAGUUUUUCAGUUCCUCGCUUUCUUCUCUGGUUAUCCCGGGUCACCUUUUGAUAACAUAGUAAAGUGUGUUUUCCUGCUCGCAUACGAGUCUGCUUUUUGAUCCUUUGGUGCAUGCGUGCCUCGGCACAUGACAAUCUAGCUCUAAAAUAUACACUGAACAAAAAUAUAAAAACAACACUAUUGUUUUUGCUCCCAUUUUUCACGAGCUGAACUCAAACAUCUGAAAAUUUUUCUACAUACACAAGAGACCCAUGACUGUCAAAUAUUAUUGUCAAAUCUUUAUAAAUCUGUGUUAGUGAGCAAUUUUCCAUUACAAAGAUAAUCCAUCCCACCUCACAGGUUUGGCAUAUCAAAGGGCUGAUUAGACAGCAUGGAUAUUGCACAGGUGUACCUUAGACUGGCCACAAUAAAAGGCCACCCUGAAAUGUGCAGUUUAAUCAAACAGCACAAUGCCACAGAUGCCGCAACCUUUGAAGAAGCGUGCAAUUGGCAUGCUAACUGCAGGAAUGUAUACCAGACUUGUUGCCCGUGAAAUUAAUGUUCAUUUCCCUACCAUUUGCCGUCUCCAAUAGUGAUGGGUACCGGUGUCCGGUUCCAUGAUGGCACCGGUUCUGACAUAAACGGUAGUAACCAGACCGAAAAGCAGCGCACAUUUCGGUGCUUUAUUUCGGUGCU